Molecule: long non-coding RNA, 2600 nt
Organism: Manis pentadactyla (Chinese pangolin)
Lineage: Eukaryota; Metazoa; Chordata; Mammalia; Pholidota; Manidae
Exons: 3
Source: RefSeq, a predicted model, not a curated record
GGGACAGUCAGGCGGAGGGGCCUCGGGGCAUAAGGCAGGGGUUGGGGAGAGGCAGCCAGGUGCUGGAGAAGUAACAUGGUCUUGGGAGUCAGAUCUGGCUUCAAAUCCUGGCUCCUUUACAUUUUUACUGUUUGGCCUUAAGCAAAUUAGUCAGUGUCUCUGAGUCUAUUUUUUCAUCUGUAAAUGGGCCUAUAAGAGUGUCUAGUUAGUAGAAUUGUAAGGACUAAAUACACUCAGAGGCCAGCAGAUAAGAGCUGCUUGGUAAAUACUAGUUAUUAUUAACAUCAUUAUUCCCAUUUAGUCUUUUCAUUCACAUAAAGGGACCCUCUCCAUUAGGGGACAGGGCCCAGGAAAGGGCUUCGAGGGUCUGGCUCUGCCCAGUAACAAAAGGGGGCCUUGUCAGUGCCACCUAGGGAUGGUCUAAGCCAGCCUGCCUACAGGAGGCAGCUGCUGGGGCAUGGUACCCAGCUCACCCCAAAGGCACCCUCUGAAGUAGGCAGGCACACAGGUACAGGCAGGUGGUCUGGGGCCCCAGAGGCCCCUAGAUGCGUGCAUGCCCAGCUCCAGUGAGGGUGCCAGAGACAGGCCAGGUAUGUGAGAAUCAGCCUAGACCCACCAAGUCCCCCACCCCCAGGGAAACUUGUAGAUGAGAGUUGACCCUCAUGCCUACUUGCUGGAUUCUUCCUGGGAGCUGAUGAUAAUGUGCUGAAAGCCACUGGGCAGGGAAUCAGGAGACAGAGUUCCCACCCUAGUUCUGUGACCCAGGCAAGGUUUUUGCCUGCUGUGGCCCUGCUGGGCUCACUUUUACAGGCAGGAGUCCACUGGGGGUGCUAUGAGCACUGGCCCGAGGGGCUGCUUUUCUAGGGUGGGGCCUGGGGGGAUUUCUAGCUUAGAAGCAGCCAGGAAAUGCGCUUGCCAAGUCGGAGGACAUGGAGGCUUCUGGAGCCCUCCCAUUUGCGCUGCAUCCUUGCUGCUUCCCACUAAUGAGCCCUGGACAGGGCACAUCCUGUCUCUUCCAGGAACUGCCUUUGUACCCUUCUGCUGCCUACCCUGCUACAUCUUCAUCCUGAGCUAAGUGCUGGCCCGGGACCUCCUGGGCUCAGGUUCCUGCGUGUCUGCUGCUUCCCUUCUUCCCCCAAGACACCCACCCCCGUGUCCAGCCAGAGGGGCCACACCCCGAGCAAGGACCACACUUUGCCAAGCUCUGGCCUGGGGCCUGAGGGCUCUGGGGAAAGCCUGAGGCCUGGGGAACCUUUAGAAACAGCUUGCUUUCCCAAAUGUGGCCCAUAGGGGCUAUGAGCCAGAGAUGGCUCUGUGCAGAUUUGGUAACGGUGCCCCUUUGUUCUGCUGAGACACAGCCCUAUGCCUGGCAUGAGGCUUGGUGAACGGAACAUGGACUGGAAGUCAGGCUCUACAUGCUGUCUGCAGGACUGUGCCUCGGGGCCCCGUUCUGCCUUGGGCUGACUGGAGGAAGGGAGGAACUGCCACAUCUGUGCUGCAGCCAAACCCUGAGCUCUGAGGGUCCCAGGCAAGGUGCCAUAUAAAAGCUCGUUCAGCUCUGUGUGCACGUUUCUGUGUGGGUGGAUGUGCAGGUGUAUAUGUGUGUAGGCAUAAACUGGAACUACCGGUUCCUCUGGCUGAUUUUGAGGAAGGAUGGAGAGGUCCUUGCAUGCUGGAGCCUUUACCUGAGGGUGUCUGAUGCCUGGCCCACCUGCUCCCCACCAUUUUUCUUGGUCUUCUUGGGGUGCUGAGGGCAACAUCACCACAGGACGGGGACACAGUGCCAGCAGCCAGGCUCCCAGCUCUUGUUUUUAUCACAGGUUACUUUUGCCUACAGUUGCAUUUACAGUCUGGACUCAGGAUGGCAGAGAACAAACUGGCCUGAGUAGCCACUCAUGAGGUCAUCUCUUCUCCCAGAGGUUUCACCUCCUCGGUGAAAUGGGAGGGAGGAAGGGGCCCGGCUCUCCUGCUGGGGUCCCUGUCCACCCCCAGCCAGGGCCGGCUGUACCCACUCACACGGCCGCAGCAGACUGAAAAGGGCUGAGCCUGGUCCUGCCAUUCAUAGAGACCUGCCUUCUUUAGAGAGAAGCUGGGGCAACUCUCGGGAGUGCUGGACAGCAGCCCUGUUUGGGUACUAGCAGCCUGCACCUGGGCCAGCAUCAGUACCCGGGCCCCAUGAGGGCAGCCUCAGGAGCACCAGUCUGCCGCCUGUGAGAUGAACCAGCUGAAGCGAAGAAACCUGGCGAAGCUCUCUCUGCUAGCAAGAGUCAGAGGCAGUCCUGGAACUCUGACAGUCCGGCCCCGGAGCUCCGUGUCCUACCCACCAUGCCCAGCUGCCUCCCUUCAUGAGCAGGUAGCCCGUAUCUGUUUGGAGUGAACGGUUUUCAGAGUGCUUUCAUGUACCCACCCACUCCCACUGUUAUGCCCCAGAGCAUGCUGCCAUCCUCCUGUUGUUGGGAGCAGUUCUGUGCAUGCAUUUGCCUUCCCUGCAGAGCUGCCAGAUGCCUGAGGCAGGGGCUGCUGGAACCUCAGAAGCAAACAAGGGCCUGGCGCAUGGUAAUGCCUCUUGAGGAAUGAAUAAACCUGAUGAGCCAGUGCCA